AAUUUGGGACAAUGGGGGUAACGCUGAUCCAGCCAUCCCGCGUGUUCGAGGAAGGCCUUCGGGUUNUAAAGCACUUUUUGCAGGGANGAAAAGCCGCGGGUUAAUACCCUGCGGUGCUGACGGUACCUGCCUAAUAAGCACCGGCUCACUACGUGCCAUAAGCCGCGGUAAUAAGUAGGGUGUAAGCGUUAAUCGGAAUUACUGGGCGUAAAGCGUGCGCAGGCGGUUCGGCAAGAAGGAUGUGAAAUCCCGGGGCUUAAACUCGGAACUGCAUUCUUAACUGCCGGGCUAGAGUAUGUCAGAGGGGUGUAGAAUUCCGCGUGUAGCAGUGAAAUGCGUAGAGAUGCGGAGGAAUACCGAUGGCGAAGGCAGCCCCCUGGGAUAAUACUGACGCUAAUGCACGAAAGCGUGGGGAGCAAAC
Molecule: ribosomal RNA, 421 nt
Filed under: uncultured bacterium
Lineage: Bacteria
Description: partial 16S ribosomal RNA
Rfam family: Bacterial small subunit ribosomal RNA
Source: RNAcentral